AGAGUUUGAUCAUGGCUCAGGACGAACGCUGGCGGCGUGCUUAACACAUGCAAGUCGAACGAGAUCCAUUCAGUAGCAAUACUGAUGAAGAUCUAGUGGCGAACGGGUGCGUAACACGUGAGGAACUUGUCCCGGUCUCUGGGAUAACAGUUGGAAACGACUGCUAAUACCGGAUGACGUCGGAACUUCGCAUGGAGUACUGACGAAAGGGUUACUGGAUCGGGAGAGCCUCGCGGCCUAUCAGCUUGUUGGUGGGGUAACGGCCUACCAAGGCAUCGACGGGUAGCUGGUCUGAGAGGAUGAUCAGCCACACUGGGACUGAGACACGGCCCAGACUCCUACGGGAGGCAGCAGUGGGGAAUCUUGCACAAUGGGCGAAAGCCUGAUGCAGCAACGCCGCGUGCGGGAAGAAGGCCCUCGGGUUGUAAACCGCUUUCAGAAGGAACGAAACUGACGGUACUUUCAGAAGAAGGUGCGGCCAACUACGUGCCAGCAGCCGCGGUGACACGUAGGCACCAAGCGUUGUCCGGAUUUAUUGGGCGUAAAGAGCUCGUAGGCGGUUCAGUAAGUCGGGUGUGAAAACUUUGGGCUUAACCCAAAGCGUGCAUCCGAUACUGCUGUGACUUGAGUUCGGUAGGGGAGUGGGGAAUUCCUAGUGUAGCGGUGAAAUGCGCAGAUAUUAGGAGGAACACCGGUGGCGAAGGCGCCACUCUGGGCCGAAACUGACGCUGAGGAGCGAAAGCAUGGGUAGCAAACAGGAUUAGAUACCCUAGUAGUCC
RNAcentral lists this ribosomal RNA (779 nucleotides) under uncultured bacterium. Its description in RNAcentral is "bacterial SSU rRNA". It matches the Rfam family "Bacterial small subunit ribosomal RNA", at positions 8 to 796 of the family's 1533-position model. The record is from RNAcentral.